UCCUCAUCACCUGCUGCAGAGGCAGCAUCUACGCAGGGUGGCCUCUGUCCUCUCCUUGGCUGUUGGCUUUCUACACAUCAGUGUCCUCAUUUCCCCCACAAGCCCAAGGGCGCCUGACACCCAUGUCACUCAGUGACUUCUGCUGUGAAGAGAAAGGGGAGCAGGGCCAGGCGCUGUGUGUUCUCUAACAUUGAGGUCGAGUUUUCAACACCAGAAUACAUGGUGGAAGGAAGCAGUUUUUCCCAUCCUCGCAGCUCUGGAAAAGAGGAAGAAAACACUACCGGUUAAAUAAAAAGCUUCAAAAGGCAUCAUAAAUUCCCAUAGCAGGAUAUUUAAAGAAUGGUUUUCACGAUCAGACUAAAUAAGGCGACCUGACUCCAUGCCUGGAAAACUCAGGAGAGCCUUGUCAUUAUUACCUCAUCUGAGAGCCACUUAACCCAGGCAGGCCCUGGACGUGCCUUGCUGGCUGAUCGCGCGCAGGAGAGAUCGGUGCAGUGUGGCAGGUGGCAGACUGGCUGUGCCUCCUCGCAGGCCCUCCCUGGCCACCCCUGUCCAGGAUUCAUUUCUUGUUUCUGUUGUUACUCAGAGGGCGUCGAGGAGACCCGUAUAUCCAGCGGCCAAGGCAGCGCCAAGGCAGUGGGCGAGUGCAGGGCUGAUGGAAGACUGGCUCGUGAGCUGCAUCCUUGGUGGCUUUUCCUUCUUCAUCUCAUUGCCAGUGAGGACACUGAGGAGGAGAAGGAGGUGAGGAGGAGGAAGAAGAGGAAAAGGAGAAAACCAACCGUGAUCCACUGUCACCAAAUGAGCAUGCCAGAUUGCCAUGCUGCAUAGCUCCAGGAAGCACCACGGUUCACGUGGUCAACAUGGAUGGAUCCCUGAGGCAGUGUCCAGUGACAGCCUGCAUGCCACGGGCAGCUCUGAAGUCAAUAAUCCUGCAAAAAGGGUCAUUCCUUCCCAAUAAAAGACAGUGGGCUAUCUUCCACAGAUGCCCACAAAAUUUCCCUCCUUUUCCUUCCGUGGAGGACUGGUGAAAACACCAUCGUGGACCUGACCUGCAUCUGGAGACAAUCCCUCAGAGGCACUGCAGAGCUCCUUUCUGCCCAGGCACUUACGGUGCUUGAGAACUUGGAGAGGCCAGCUCACAGAGGAGCUGGGGUUUUGACUUGACCAUGAUUACUCAGGCUAGGAUGAAAGCUGAUACUUACUGCCUGCAUUCUUUGAUUAAUCCUUCAAUCCUCACAAUCACCCCAUGUCACCAGUAGGAAACUGAGGCAAAGUCCACACAACUGGCGAGUCUGGUAUAACUGUCUUUCUAUCACAGCAGUUUGCUGGGCACAGACCUGGAGCCAGAUGUUCAGGUAAGUUAGUUCCAGUGGCUGCUUUCUUGUGGCACCUAGACCUCCAUUCUCUCCCUUCGCCACUGACCUGUCACUGGUGCCUUCUCGGGACCCUCCCAAGGCCUUGCUGCUUUUCUCUCCUCCUGGGCUUUGACCAGGGUUUACCCACAUGGCCACACAGUUUCAGAAACUUGGGGGAAAAUGAUAGGAGGUUGAAUCCAUUUCUCUUAGGAAGGGACUGAGGCUGCUUAUGAUCCAUCUAGCAAUCGCAUCUUUCUCAGAAUAUACAACGUUAUGUUCCAUGAGAGACUCAACACACAGGUGCACGGGUGACACACAGGUGCCUUUUUGCCUAUGGAGAAAGCGGAAGCAUCAGAGGAACCACAGAGAGGGAAGUGAGGGGUGGGCGGUGAGGGCCAUGUGAUGUUUCUUCCCCUCUUAGCCAAGCUCUGUCGCUCCUUCCUCCAAGGGACGGGCUGUGCUCCUGUGGGAAGCCUCUGACCUCACUCCAGUGAGAACAGCGAAGAGAGUGAAGGCGACCUAGCCGGCCUUCUGCCCACCACAGCUUCUUAGCUGGAGGAUGAAAUACACUUAUUAGUCGAACCCGAUGAUGGGCCUUCGUUUCUGCUUUUUAAUCCCUCGGUAGUUUAUCAAUGUUCCUUUCUCUUUUGCAGCUUUGAACUACACACUGUUCUUUAAGGAAUGUCAAAUUACACUUGUAUACAAAAGAAUAUUUCUCACCAUCAUACCAUAUAAGUUUUUAUGUGUAAUUUUAUGCCUAUGCUUUCCGACUAGAUAUUGGUAUUAUAAUAUUCCAAAGUGAAAAGCAUAAAAGAGUUAUUACCAUUGAGAUGUAAAUAUGUAUAAACACCCCUUUUAGAAUCCAGUGAUGUUUGUCAGGCUUUUGGGAGUGCUUGCUUGUCGUUUUAUAAUUGCAAUGAAACUGAAAAAUAGACCUGAAAUUAUACAAAAAACGCAUCAAGGAGUGCCUGCAUCUAUGUUCUCCUAGUUUUUGAAGGCAAAUUCUCUAUGAGUAGGACUUAUAGAGAUUCUAAUUGAUCUUACAAUUGAGUUUCUGGUAAUUGAACAUACCUUUCAGUCUUCUUUAGUUCAAAUCAUCAUUUCACAUCUUCUUCAUUACGAUUACUGGUGCUAGAAAAUAAAAUGCAAUACACUAUGAUUCGUGUGUAGAAUGCUGGUUAGUUCAGCUCCAAAGAGCAAGGAAGAUGUUCUAUGCACAGCUCUCUCCUGGAUCUGCUCAUAAUAGAUAUUCAGUAAAUAUUUGUUGAAUGAUUAAAUAAAUGAAUGAGCAAAUGGAUACAA
Molecule: non-coding RNA, 2657 nt
Organism: Macaca mulatta (Rhesus monkey)
Lineage: Eukaryota; Metazoa; Chordata; Mammalia; Primates; Cercopithecidae
Source: RefSeq, a predicted model, not a curated record